AGACAGAUAGUUGUAAUUUUCCCCUGGAAUCUGUCCUCACUACAGGAGAGAUAAUCUUUGGGCCAGAACUCAGACAGUAUGCUCAGAUUACGAAAUCUUUACCUUUGAAUUAAUGCAAAGCUCAGAGGAACCUCAGUGAGGCUGGUGCGUUUCUUUUGUUUUGCAAACCCUAUAGCUGUGGGCGGCUACAAUGUCUUUAUACUGUCAUGAUUGGUUCUUAUGAUUUAGAAGCCUGUACUUUUCUAAUGAGUCAUGACAGAAACAGGAGUAGAUCCAGAGGGUAGUAGAGAUGUAGAGGAACUGGAAGGAGAGGAGGGAAGAGCAAUGGUAAUCAGGAUAUAUUGUAUGAGAAAAGUCUAUUUUCAAUAAAGGGGUGAAAUGGAAACAAGAAGUAUCCCUUAAGUCCACUCUUUCCAUUUAUCUAUUUCUCACACUAUCUGUUUGCUUUAGGUUUAUGCACUAAAGGCAACAGUGAGAUUUGUCUUUGUAUUAGAAGUGCAUUUUAUCUACAAGCUUUAUUUCAGAUUCACAGACGACUUUGCCAAAGUUAAUAGAGCUAUGAGUUUGUUUGUUCUUGGUUUUUUUUUUUUUAUAUUACAUAUAAAACAUUUAUUUUCUCAGUUAUGGACAUUGAGUUACUUGAUUUUGAGUAAUGCAGUCAUUUUUCGUGCAUUUAUUAUUUUCCUUUGAUGCCAAUCAGGUUUCCAUUUAUAUAUUAUCAGUAGUCUUUUAAGCAAAUGGCCAGGCUUAAGGAAACUAUUCGUUUUAUUAUUAUUAUACAUUACAAUCCGCAUAUGUAUAAAAAGAUGAAAAUGAAAGUGAUGGAAUGUUACCACUCUCU
Molecule: long non-coding RNA, 841 nt
Filed under: Mus musculus (house mouse)
Lineage: Eukaryota; Metazoa; Chordata; Mammalia; Rodentia; Muridae
Description: long non-coding RNA chrX:82893102-82893943
Source: RNAcentral